Molecule: ribosomal RNA, 549 nt
Filed under: uncultured bacterium
Lineage: Bacteria
Description: bacterial SSU rRNA
Rfam family: Bacterial small subunit ribosomal RNA
Source: RNAcentral
GGGGAAUCUUCCGCAAUGGACGAAAGUCUGACGGAGCAACGCCGCGUGAGUGAUGACGGCCUUCGGGUUGUAAAGCUCUGUUAAUCGGGACGAAUGGUUCUUGUACGAAUAGUGCGAGGAUUUGACGGUACCGGAAUAGAAAGCCACGGCUAACUACGUGCCAGCAGCCGCGGUAAUACGUAGGUGGCAAGCGUUGUCCGGAAUUAUUGGGCGUAAAGCGCGCGCAGGCGGAUUGGUCAGUCUGUCUUAAAAGUUCGGGGCUUAACCCCGUGAUGGGAUGGAAACUGCCAAUCUAGAGUAUCGGAGAGGAAAGUGGAAUUCCUAGUGUAGCGGUGAAAUGCGUAGAUAUUAGGAAGAACACCAGUGGCGAAGGCGACUUUCUGGACGAAAACUGACGCUGAGGCGCGAAAGCCAGGGGAGCGAACGGGAUUAGAUACCCCGGUAGUCCUGGCCGUAAACGAUGGGUACUAGGUGUAGGAGGUAUCGACCCCUUCUGUGCCGGAGUUAACGCAAUAAGUACCCCGCCUGGGGAGUACGACCGCAAGGUUG